GUCUUUGACGGUUCUAUGGCGGUCUUGUUUGGUAAUUGUGUCGCUAUUUUUGGCGCCUUGUCAUACGCGUGUCGAAUAAAAUACAGCUCAACUAUUACAAACGCGUUUCCGCUUUCACCAUUGAGGGAGAUAUGCUGACGUCUUACUAGCUACUUUAGUAACGCUUAUUGUAUUAUUUCAUCAACUAUAACAAAUAAACGCCGUUGAAUAUCCUCGUUUGGUAGAAAUUCGACGCAUUAACAUUUAAGAAAGAUAAACCAACCAAAUGCCACAAGACAUCACUUAAACAAAAGAAAAUAAUCCACUUUUUGUAUUUACCUCAGUUUGCCGCGUCCCUCUCGAUGACGUCACGUCCAGGAGGUUGAUGUCAUCUUUUUAGCGACUGCAGUUGACCAGCUGACCACACAGCAAAAAAUGUGACGUGCAGGUCCAUGGAAAUUGCAGAGUCACCGCCACAUUUUCUGGAUAACCGCAUUCAGGCCUAAAGAAAACUGUCAAAGAAGCCUGUCCUCAAAUCUUGUGGAUAUUAUGGAUCACAUAUAUGGCCUUGGGUCCAUCCUUUACUAUUGAUGACCUUCAGUGAGGAAAAGCCCUUUACAUUAGGUUUUAAGGAAGUGCAGCUCAUCAAUUGAUCAAUGUCAUUUUCAGAACAAUGGACCAAUUAGAUGAAGCAGAGGGUGGGUCACAUUGCAAAAAAGAAAAUUGAAAACUGAAAAAACAGUCAAAAUAACAGAAAAGAUGCUCUGUAUUUUUUCAGACCUCAAAUACUGCAAAGAAAACAAUUUCAUAUUCACUUUUAGGCAAUACAAAAGUCAUAUUUCUGAUUGUAUUUAGGAAAGGUUCAAUAUUCUUUUUUAAUUUGGACUGGACACAAGUAAACUGAAAUAUGGA
Triplophysa dalaica is the source of this 891-nucleotide long non-coding RNA. RefSeq lists it as uncharacterized. Lineage: Eukaryota; Metazoa; Chordata; Actinopteri; Cypriniformes; Nemacheilidae. The record is from RefSeq and is a predicted model, not a curated record. The transcript is spliced from 5 exons.